Molecule: ribosomal RNA, 583 nt
Filed under: uncultured bacterium
Lineage: Bacteria
Description: bacterial SSU rRNA
Rfam family: Bacterial small subunit ribosomal RNA
Source: RNAcentral
CCUACGGGAGGCAGCAGGUGGGGAAUUUUGGACAAUGGGCGAAAGCCUGAUCCAGCAAUGCCGCGUGAGUGAAGAAGGCCUUCGGGUUGUAAAGCUCUUUUGUCAGGGAAGAAACGGUGAGAGCUAAUAUCUCUUGCUAAUGACGGUACCUGAAGAAUAAGCACCGGCUAACUACGUGCCAGCAGCCGCGGUAAUACGUAGGGUGCAAGCGUUAAUCGGAAUUACUGGGCGUAAAGCGUGCGCAGGCGGUUUUGUAAGUCUGAUGUGAAAUCCCCGGGCUCAACCUGGGAAUUGCAUUGGAGACUGCAAGGCUAGAAUCUGGCAGAGGGGGGUAGAAUUCCACGUGUAGCAGUGAAAUGCGUAGAUAUGUGGAGGAACACCGAUGGCGAGGGCAGCCCCCUGGGUCAAGAUUGACGCUCAUGCACGAAAGCGUGGGGAGCAAACAGGAUUAGAUACCCUGGUAGUCCACGCCCUAAACGAUGUCUACUAGUUGUCGGGUCUUAAUUGACUUGGUAACGCAGCUAACGCGUGAAGUAGACCGCCUGGGGAGUACGGUCGCAAGAUUAAAACUCAAAAGGAUUGA